GACGAACGCUGGCGGCGUGCUUAACACAUGCAAGUCGAACGGAGUUACGUAUGAAGUAUUUCGGUACGGACUAUGUAACUUAGUGGCGAACGGGUGAGUAACACGUGGGCAACCUGCCCUUAACCGGGGGAUAACAUUGUGAAACAGUGCUAAUACCGCAUAACAGAGUAUCGGGCAUCCGAUAUUUUAAAGGAGCAAUCCGGUUUAGGAUGGGCCCGCGUCCAAUUAGCUAGUUGGUGAGGUAACGGCUCACCAAGGCUACGAUUGGUAGCCGAACUGAGAGGUUGAUCGGCCACAUUGGGACUGAGACACGGCCCAGACUCCUACGGGAGGCAGCAGUGGGGAAUAUUGGGCAAUGGGCGAAAGCCUGACCCAGCGACGCCGCGUGAAGGAUGAAGGUCUUCGGAUUGUAAACUUCUUUGAUCAGGGAAGAAAGAAAUGACGGUACCUGAAGAACAAGCCACGGCUAACUACGUGCCAGCAGCCGCGGUAAAACGUAGCGU
This 503-nucleotide ribosomal RNA is filed under the name uncultured bacterium. RNAcentral's name for it is "bacterial SSU rRNA". It matches the Rfam family "Bacterial small subunit ribosomal RNA", at positions 28 to 532 of the family's 1533-position model. The record is from RNAcentral.